This is a small nuclear RNA of Otolemur garnettii (small-eared galago), 164 nucleotides long. Its record names the gene U1. It matches the Rfam family "U1 spliceosomal RNA". Rfam says of the family: U1 is a small nuclear RNA (snRNA) component of the spliceosome (involved in pre-mRNA splicing). Lineage: Eukaryota; Metazoa; Chordata; Mammalia; Primates; Galagidae. The record is from Ensembl.
AUACUUACCUGGCAGGGGAGAUACCAUGAUCACGAAGGUGGUUUUCCCAGGGCGAGGCUUAUCUAUUGCACUCCGGAUGUGCUGACCCCUGCGAUUUCCCCAAAUGUGGGAAACUCGACUGCAUAAUUUGUGGUAGUGGGGGACUGCGUUCGCGCUUUUCCCUG